GCCGAGCGCGGGCGGGGUGGCGGAGCCGGGAACCACGGUGUCGGCGGGGGAAGGGGGGACCGCGGGUUUAACUUUAAUAGUUCUUCAGGCUAUUCUUUAAGAAUAGCUAAUUCUUUAGCUAUUUCAGAGCUAUUUUAGGAUACUUCAACAUAUUUUAAGGUCAGUCAGAGGGGACGCCCUGUGAAAAUGUAGAGUUUUAGGACUGCAGAGGUAGGCUUUGGUAAGGGGCCGGUUGUGGUGCCGUGGGUUGGGUCCCAUGCUGCUGAUCCAAAGGUGAUUUUCCAGGUCCGGUGAAGUUGCUGAGGUUAGACUCAUGAAUAGACGCUGGAGGUUUGGUCUGAGGAAAAUCCUGCACUAGAAAACUCACGACACAAUUUUGGUGAUGUUGAUUUGUCAGAAGUGUUUAUAACAUCGAGGGCAGCCCGAGUUCGAGGUGGGGAGGGCUAGAGUCCAGAAGGAACCCUGCGCCGUUCAUAAUUCUAGGAGGCAGAAGCCCGCUCCCAGCCACUGGGCCCCUGGACUCAAAUGGCAGCCCUUUUAAAAUGUAAAAAAACCCUCCUCUCGCCCUCCCUCCCCGACUGUCAGUUUGUCAGAGGCGUUUGGCAGUCCAAGGGCAGCCUGAGUUCUGGAUGGAGGCAGCUCGGGUCCGGGAGGAAUCCUGCUCCGUUUGUAAUUUUGGGACGCAGAAACCCGCUCGCGGCCGCCCGGCCGCUGGACGUGAAUGGCACCCCUUUUCCGUGGGAAAGAAAACUCACCUCUGCAGGUUCCUGAUGUCGGUUUGUCAGAGACGUUUGGCACUCCAAGGGCAGCCCGAGUUGUAGCUGGGGGUGGCUUGGGUCUGGGAGGAAUCCUGCUCCAUUCGUAAUUUUCCUAACCCUCUAACCUUAACCCUGAACCCUAAUCUUAACCCUAACUCUAACCUUAACCUUAAACCAACGUGGGUAGAAAGAAAAUCAUUAAAAUUUUAAAAUAUAUUCUCAGUGUAUGUAUCAGAAGUUUUCCUUCUUGUAGAAUUCUACAAAACCCAGAAUGCACUGGCCUCAUCAGAGAUGUCAUCCUAUGGCAUGCCCAGAAAAACUGGAUUAAUGGGACCGAAUCCUGGCGGCAAGCACUGAAACCGAUAUCACUUCUCAAGUCCCACUGCUGGGCUCAACCUCACUGAAGGAUGACGGGAGGGAGUACACAGUGCUUCAUCUUUCACUGUCAGCCCUCAAAACCACUUUCACAAAAGAAGGAAAAAAGCACGUAUCCUGUUUCUAGAUGGCUCCUGUGGGUUUGGACACUAUCUGUUAUUAACAUAAAAGUCAGGAAACAAAAUCAUGACAUCUUUUAGGUCAGAAAAAACCUUUAUGACCAUCAAGUCCAACCAUUAACCCGGGAUUGCCAAGGCCACCGCUAAUCCUUGUCCUCGAGUGCCACGUGCACCCAUUUUUUCAAUCCCUCCAAGGAUGGUUACUCCACCAGUGCCCUGGGCAGCCUGUUCCAAUGAUGGACAGCCCUUUUGGUGAAGAAAUUUUCCCUAGUAUCUCAUGUAAACCUCCCCUGGUGCAACUUGAGGCCAUUUCCUCUCAUCCUGCUGCUUUACUUGGUAGAAGAGAGAAUCAUUUAGGUUAGAAAAGACUUUUGACAUCCUUGAGUCCAAUGUCAGGAUCUUUCACUGGUCUCCAGGGUAUGGUGUGAUGCUUUUCAUUUUCAGGUGAAUGAAAUAAGAUCCCUGAGGCAAAGCUGUGCUCCCUGCAUAUCAGACAUACCAAAAUACUUCCGUACAGCAGCCUUUUGAUAUGUCUGACACCCAGACUCAUGCUGGGCCUGCCUAAGUGUCAUCCUUGAGAAAGCUUUCGUCCCUUUAAACAUUCAUGUGCCCUUUCUUCUUCUCAUGUAUUUUUACUACUAACAGGUUUCCCAGCUGAUAACACAGCAAUGAGUACAUUAUUCAGCCUGGAUUGCUGACUUGACUGCUGGCAGUCUCCAUUACAGCAACAUCUUCCAACACUUACGGGUGAGGAUCCCAAGCUUUAUCUGAGUGUCCUGGCAGAACGUGGCUGAUGCUGCAGGGCGUAAUGGGGAGAGGCAGUGGGAUGGGACUAGAGCCAGGGAUCUCUGUCCAGACUCUACUCGGCACUGGAGUACACAAGCCCAGCUCCUCCAGUCCCCUGUGAGCCCCAGGAGAUGCAGGGGAAGCAGGAGAAGCUUCUUGGGGCUGAAGUGACACUUGUGCUUCUUCUAUUAUAUUACAGAGCUGCUAUCACUGUGCCACAUCCCUUUCCCUCUUAUCCCACAUGAACUGUGAACUGAGCAAUCAUCUCUGUAUUGUACAGGAGGGCUGUGAACCUUAAUUAAUUUGUGGGUUUCAGUUCUUUGUGCUCUCAAAAUGCAGUGUGUUUUAUUCCUUCACUACUUCACAGUUAAUAGCAUUAUUUAUUUGAGUCAGAGUAGUCCCCACCAAGCCUGUGUGAUAGUGGGUUCCCAAUUCUGCAUGAUACACUGGGCAGGCACAAACUCCCUGCACUCCCUAACACUAACUAAAACAGGAAACAAUUAGGUUAGGUAUUAGGAAGUAGUUCUUCCCUGUGAGGGUGCUGAGGCCCUGGCACAGGCAGCCCAGAGAAGCUGUGGCUGCCCCAUCUCUGGAAGUGUCCAAGUCCAGGUUGUACGUGGAUAAUCCCGUGGUUGAACCUGGGAUAGUGGUAAGAGGUUCUUGCCCGUGGCAGGGGGUUUAGAAUGAGAUGAGUUUUUAGGUCCCUUCCAAACCAUUUGUGGAGUCUGUGAUCACCCACCAGUGAGCUUGGGGAGUCCCUCCCCAGGUGGGUUUGUGUCCGUGCAUAGCUGUAGGUUGGGGAAAAGACACGGGAACAUGGCCAUACCUGCAAGCACUGUCAUCCAUGUGGAAGAGGAAUCCAUGUUCCAUGAGUGGGGUGGUUCAAGAGGAAGCUGAAUUGCAAGCAGCCUUCAUGUCCAGCUGCUUACAGAGACCAAGCAAUACAAAAAUUAAACAGGCCAUUAAGCAGCACUCCAGUGGAUUAACAUUUGUCUGUCUCGCUUACGCUGCAGGAUUUCAAAAUUCCUUUGAAGUUUGCAUAUUAGAAAAUCACUUUCCAAGCCACAUAACUUUGAGGAACAGCUGACUAAUCCUUUAGGAUUUAAUGAGGUUAACUAACAUGCACAGUUUUGUAGAAAGCUAUCAUUUGUAUUUUGGUAGCAAACAUGAACAACAUUGACAAUAAGUAAUGAUCUGUAAAGAGCCAUAAUGGGAGCAUGUCAUCAUUUUAGUAACUUUUGUAGAAGCUUUAAUUUUCUUCAUAAAGCACAGGUUGGGCUUCUGAUCUGAUCUUCUUAAUUAUAACAAUUAAUAGUUAACAUAACUGUUUGCUUUUAAGUCUCACUGAAGUCAAUAGGAUUACACUUUUCUGUUAGCAACGUUAAUUUAACCUUUUUUAUUAGUUUCUUCUCUGACUCUUCAGGAACCCAUGAAAGUCCAUGGAAGCAUGGACUGGCAGAACAUCAGCAGUGUUUUCCAGCAGCUGGGGCUGAGAGCAGGAGGUGCCCAGCACUGGUCUAGCACUGGAGCCACAUCCCACUGUUUGUCCAGCGAAGCCCAACUCUGUUCCUGACAAGGUCUGGAUCAGAGCCGUCCCCCAGCUGAGCUCCUGGAGUGACUAUAGAAUAGAAUCAUAGAAUCAUUAAAUUUGGAAAAGACCUCCAAGAACAUCAAGUCCAGCCUUCUCCAUUCAAGAGGUUGGUUCUGGACUCCUUGUGCCUCAGGUGCCUCGAGAUUGAACUAUGAACUUAACUUGGUAUUUAUAUAUAUUUUUAUAUAUUUAUAUAUAUUAUGGAACACCAAAGUUGUGUGCAACAAGCUGACACAUAAGUUCAUUAGGAUGCAAUUACUGCAAUCAGAAUGUAGGCUACUCAAUUAUUUUAGCAAGAAGGUGUAAUUAACUGCAGGUUCAUGCUGAAUGCUGCCUGGUGCCAGAUUUCGAGGAUUGGCUUGCAUGGGUAAACACAGCAGUGGGGUUUUACCUAGAGCACAGCCACUAGCUGAGAGAUGCAGACUGAUGGAAAACAGCAGCGGCUGGAUUGGUGGGAGACAAGCCAGAGCAAGACAAGAGGAGCAGAGCAUCCUGUCCUUCACCUAGCAGCCCAGCUGAUAGAGCUGGAGCCUCUAGGGAUGUGAGCUGAGUGCAUCAAAACUUACUGGCUAUAAUCGCUGCUGAGCCGUUGCUGCCUCGUUAUUUAAAAGCAUGAAUAUUAACGAGUUCUUACAGCUUCUUUGGAAAGAUCUGCCUGUUAUGGCUUAUAGAUCAUAGUGGUACUGGGAGAAAAUAAAACUCUGUCAAACCGUUUGCCUGUUGCUUGUUUGCAACUCUCCUUCAGCUCAUGGGAGCCUGGACACUAUUCUGGAGAGGUAGUUUCCUCAGCAUGUCUUCCACUUGUGAAUUAUUUAAUGGGAAGCUUUGUCCUUGUAAUGAGUGGAAUAUUCAGUGUGCAAUUAAUAUCUCUGUUGCCCUCGGGCCUUCACAAUCCUUGUCAAAAUGUACAUUACACCUGUAAAAAUUCCAUACAGAGCAGCAGGCAGAGAGGUGGCUGUUCAUGGACUGUGCAUGGAGAGAAGGAAGAGAAAAAAGACAGGAAAUCUUACAAGAUUUGCUGCAUACAUAAAGCAGGAGACCAUCAAGGGCAUGAGUGGCACAACAGGACCUGGGAGCUGUGGCACAGAAUCCUGUAUGGUGCUGAGCAACCUGGCCUGGGAAAGGAGUCCCUGCCCAUGGCAGGGCUGAGAUAAUGAGCUUUAAGGGCCCUUCCAAUCCAAACCAUUUUAUGAUUCUAUGAAGUUAAUUUUUGCUGUCCUUCAUUCCCAGGGCAGUGCCAUAGGUGCGUGAGUUCCAUGUCCCUGGUCCUGUUCCAUUGUUUUAGAAGGAAGUUUCUGCAAAGAGCCUGAUCUUCCCACAACUCAUUUCCAACUGGAAUUUAACAGAUCCCCAUCUGCCAAAUAAUAAAUAAGAACCUUUACAUGCAACACUCCGUUUGUUAAGCAGAGCUAUAAACAAAGCCUAAAUAGCAGCUAAUUUAGGGAACGAGGUUGGGAAGGCAAUGUUGCCAUAGCUGCAGCACACGAGUGGGAUGAACACCCAGCCCCAUGUAGUCAGGUCCCCUGUCAUGGUUUAGGGUAAAUUUGGGAGAAAACCUCCAAUGGGCCCUCCCCACCCCGGGAAGCAAACAUACGUGGCGGUUCCCAAAAACCAAACCUACUGCCAGGCUUAAAGGCACCACCGAGAGCUAGUCCCUGUGGCAGUGAAGGGCAGGCUGUGAAGGAUUGCAGAAAAUGCCUUAUU
Molecule: long non-coding RNA, 5333 nt
Organism: Cyanistes caeruleus (blue tit)
Lineage: Eukaryota; Metazoa; Chordata; Aves; Passeriformes; Paridae
Source: RefSeq, a predicted model, not a curated record